CCAAAUAUUCGACGUGUUUCACUUAUUAACAAGAAUCCCUUUUAAGCUUCAAAGCUGUAUUUAUUGGGAAAGCUUCAAAGCAGUUAAAGUUUCCCUUCCAACAACAGCAUAUUACAGAAUAUGUGAAAUGCUUUUAAGUCGACAUCACAGAAGGUCAUUAUCGGUGCUCAUUGAUGAUACAAAAACGCUUUUCAAAGGAUUCAAGCAGGGGAAGGAAACGUUAAAAGCGAAACUUACAUAUACAAUUGAUAGAUGCCACCCAAAAAUCUAUCUUUAAAUGAAUGAAAACGCGGUAUACAUAUAAUUAAAGCAACAAGCCAUGUCGAAUUAAGUAUGUAAAAAUUGUUCUGGUUUCCAAAAUUGCCUUUCCUUAUUCUUGUCGUCAAAAACAAGAUCAAUGCGGGAGUGAUCUCUGAAACGAAAAAACUAGAUAAUUUCUUAUAUCUUCAUCAUUUAAGUCCUGUCCUGGUGUAAAGUAGAGUGUUCUAUAUAAGAAUUUGGAUUCAGAACAUGUACGAAUGAAUUAUCUGUGUAAUUCGGGGUAGCCCUUUAAAGAUGUUCAUACAUCACGAGAUUUUGAGGUUUGCUUGCACGUAUUCUUGUUAGGUGUCUACCAACACGUUUUCAUUAAUGAUGGAUAUCUUCCUAUUCGUUUAACAGGGACAAACAAGUAAAAUAGCACGUCUAGACUCAUAUUCAUUUUAAACAUAAUUUGGAGGAUAGUCGUUUGCUUACCAUGGAUUUUACCAUAAAAUUUAAUGUGAACGUUCUUAUUCAGAUGAUAUCCCACAGCAGUAGAAACAAGAAGUUCGAUCUUUGUUUGAAAAGAAUAUAUAUAUUAGUCUACAG
This is a long non-coding RNA of Daphnia magna, 849 nucleotides long. RefSeq lists it as uncharacterized. Lineage: Eukaryota; Metazoa; Arthropoda; Branchiopoda; Diplostraca; Daphniidae. The record is from RefSeq and is a predicted model, not a curated record. The transcript is spliced from 2 exons.